UAUUUUCAUUUUUGGGUGAACUAACCCUUUAAGUACAUAGCCAGCCAGCGUUCAAAAUUAUCUCCUUAUCUUAGCCAGUUUCACAACGGUAAGCUUGUAAUAAUGUUUUAAUAAUGUUUAAUUUGUGUGGUACUGGUAGAUUUCCGCGGGAAAUUUGCCUUCGCGUCAUUACAUUAUAUCUGAACACAUAAAGAAGGAGUCCCGGAUGCUGCAGGUGGCAGUCAUUUGUAGCCACUUUUAACAGCAGUUGGAAUAAUUAAACUUGUCAUUUUGAUGGCGGAUUGUAAUCAAGAAAGGUAAAAACGACCAUCAUAUUGACAACUGGUGAAUCAUCAGUGGUAAAAAGCAAAAGAGUUUGGACUGCGGAGUGGCUACAGCAAAAAAGGGAAUGCGACCGGCCCGUGCUUUUGGAAAGUGAACUCAGUGUUUUGAAUAGGUUAAAACUGACGCACAGAUUGCUUGGACAGUUAAUGUACAUGGUUACCAAGGAGACAAGAAUGUCAGUAAAAAGCUGAGACAAUGUGAGACAUGCAUGUGAAGAACAAGAAUAAUCAAGAUGCUUUCUCAUCCUCACCUACAUCUAUCCUUACACCUGACCAGAAUGUUGACUUUGAGCCUGUGAGAAAUGUUUGUGCUGUCUGCUAAUUAAAUAUGUCAUAGUUUUGAUCAGAAUACAUUACAUCAGUCAAAUCACAUCUGAAAAUCCUGCAUACACAGAGGUUCGGGACUCCACGAAGCCCCAGUGUGGCUUGCCAUUGGAAAUAACUGACUUCAGGUCUCUAGCUGUUUGCUGUAAGUAGUGAAAAGGUGGUUUAAAUUGCUUGCUUAUAGCUAAGAUGGGAUGGGAGAAAAUAUUUUAACAUUGAAAAAUUACACACAUUACUUUUAAGUGGUUCUUUGUUUAUCCGCUGUAGGGAAAAGGACAGAUGGCAUUUAAAUAAGAUUACUCAGUCUUAGUGUUUUUGUAAACUGUGUCUGCUUUAUGGUAGGAACACACACACACAGAGAGAGAGAGA
Megalobrama amblycephala (Wuchang bream) is the source of this 1016-nucleotide long non-coding RNA. RefSeq lists it as uncharacterized. The transcript has 4 exons. Lineage: Eukaryota; Metazoa; Chordata; Actinopteri; Cypriniformes; Xenocyprididae. The record is from RefSeq and is a predicted model, not a curated record.